Molecule: ribosomal RNA, 253 nt
Filed under: uncultured bacterium
Lineage: Bacteria
Description: partial 16S ribosomal RNA
Rfam family: Bacterial small subunit ribosomal RNA
Source: RNAcentral
UACGUAGGUUGCAAGCGUUCUCCGGAAUUAUUGGGCGUAAAGCGCGCGCAGGUGGUUUCUUAAGUCUGAUGUGAAAGCCCACGGCUCAACCGUGGAGGGUCAUUGGAAACUGGGAGACUUGAGUGCAGAAGAGGAAAGUGGAAUUCCAUGUGUAGCGGUGACAUGCGUAGAGAUAUGGAGGAACACCAGUGGCGAAGGCGACUUUCUGGUCUGUAACUGACACUGAGGCGCGAAAGAGUGGGGAGCAAACAGG